AUUGAACGCUGGCGGAAUGCUUUACACAUGCAAGUCGAACGGUAGAGGGGGCAACCCCCUUGAGAGUGGCGAACGGGUGAGUAAUAUAUCGGAACGUGCCCAGUCGUGGGGGAUAACGUAGCGAAAGUUACGCUAAUACCGCAUACGAUCUACGGAUGAAAGCGGGGGAUCGCAAGACCUCGCGCGAUUGGAGCGGCCGAUAUCAGAUUAGGUAGUUGGUGGGGUAAAGGCUCACCAAGCCAACGAUCUGUAGCUGGUCUGAGAGGACGACCAGCCACACUGGAACUGAGACACGGUCCAGACUCCUACGGAGGCAGCAGUGGGGAAUUUUGGACAAUGGACGCAAGUCUGAUCCAGCCAUUCCGCGUGCAGGAUGAAGGCCCUCGGGUUGUAAACUGCUUUGUACGGAACGAAAAGGUUUUCNCUUAAUACGAGGAGCUCAUGACGGUACCUAAGAAUAAGCACGGCUAACUACGUGCCAGCAGCC
RNAcentral lists this ribosomal RNA (487 nucleotides) under uncultured bacterium. RNAcentral's name for it is "bacterial SSU rRNA". It matches the Rfam family "Bacterial small subunit ribosomal RNA", at positions 30 to 516 of the family's 1533-position model. The record is from RNAcentral.